Non-coding RNA from Phascolarctos cinereus (koala), 499 nucleotides. The record is from RefSeq and is a predicted model, not a curated record. NCBI's taxonomy places the organism in Eukaryota, Metazoa, Chordata, Mammalia, Diprotodontia, Phascolarctidae.
UAAGCUUAUUAAACAUUAACUGACACAUCCCAAAGGCAGAGAUAGCCGCCAUUUUGAACAUUGGAUGCAUGAACUAACAUGACAAGGAGGAACAAGGAGGAACGUGGAGAAACAUGGCAUGGGCGGUUCAGGAAGAGUGUAACUCAGAUGAUCUGGUCCAAUCCCAGGCUCAGAUUGGGAAACUGAAGCAAAGAAAGGGAAAUCAACUUGUUGUCCAUUUAUGAAUCCAAAUCGGUUGACAGGAGUUACAGGAAGAACCACUCUCUCAUAUAUACAAACCACCUAGGCUAGUCUGGGCCUGGUUCUCUCACCGUAAUUCUGAGGACCAAGUAUAUAUGCCUGGGGUACCCUGGAGAGCUCUUGCCAAGUUAACCUGGAAGUAUUAUUGACUGCACAUGGAGACUAGCCAUCAACAAAGUUAUGAAUUCAUCCAAUUAUAUUACCAUCCAGCUCAUCUCUCUCCAUCCUUUCCACAAGAAUGAGAAAAUUUGCCACUCAG